Non-coding RNA from Picea glauca (white spruce), 123 nucleotides. Lineage: Eukaryota; Viridiplantae; Streptophyta; Pinopsida; Pinales; Pinaceae. The record is from Rfam.
GUAUAUGUCUAUAUCAUAGCGUUAAUUCAUCGAAUAUCAUUAGCACUUCGUAGUUAAGCGUGCUCGGGCUAGAAUAGUACUGGGAUGGGUGACUGCCCAGGAAGUCCUACUGUUUUGCAUGCC